UACGUAGGGUGCGAGCGUUGUCCGGAAUUAUUGGGCGUAAAGGGUUCGUAGGCGGUCUGUCACGUCGGGAGUGAAAACUCGGGGCUUAACUCCGAGCCUGCUUCUGAUACGGGCAGACUAGAGGUAUGCAGGGGAGAAUGGAAUUCCUGGUGUAGCGGUGAAAUGCGCAGAUAUCAGGAGGAACACCGGUGGCGAAGGCGGUUCUCUGGGCAUGACCUGACGCUGAGGAGCGAAAGUGUGGGGAGCGAACAGG
This 253-nucleotide ribosomal RNA is filed under the name uncultured bacterium. Its description in RNAcentral is "partial 16S ribosomal RNA". It matches the Rfam family "Bacterial small subunit ribosomal RNA", at positions 524 to 776 of the family's 1533-position model. The record is from RNAcentral.